AUACUUCUUCGGGGCAGGGUGAAAUUCCCAACCGACGGUAACGAUUAACAUCGAAGUCCGUGACCCGCGUUAAGCGGUUGAUCUAGUGAGAAUCUAGAACCGACAGUAUAGUCUGGAUGGGAGAAGAAGUCU
This 132-nucleotide non-coding RNA is filed under the name Fructilactobacillus lindneri. Its description in RNAcentral is "Lactobacillus lindneri FMN sequence". It matches the Rfam family "FMN riboswitch aptamer (RFN element)". Rfam says of the family: The RFN element is a highly conserved domain that is found frequently in the 5'-untranslated regions of prokaryotic mRNAs that encode for flavin mononucleotide (FMN) biosynthesis and transport proteins. This element is a metabolite-dependent riboswitch that directly binds FMN in the absence of proteins. RNAcentral also lists the same sequence under 1 other name. Lineage: Bacteria; Bacillati; Bacillota; Bacilli; Lactobacillales; Lactobacillaceae. The record is from RNAcentral.